Molecule: ribosomal RNA, 269 nt
Filed under: Klebsiella variicola
Lineage: Bacteria; Pseudomonadati; Pseudomonadota; Gammaproteobacteria; Enterobacterales; Enterobacteriaceae
Description: partial 16S ribosomal RNA
Rfam family: Bacterial small subunit ribosomal RNA
Source: RNAcentral
UUAAAACUCAAAGGAAUUGACGGGGGCCCGCACAAGCGGUGGAGCAUGUGGUUUAAUUCGAUGCAACGCGAAGAACCUUACCUAGUCUUGACAUCCUGAGACAAUCCCAGAGAUGGGAUGUUCCCUUCGGGAACUGAGAGACAGGUGGUGCAUGGUUGUCGUCAGCUCGUGUUGUGAAAUGUUGGGUUAAGUCCCGCAACGAGCGCAACCCUUUUUCUUAGUUGCCAGCGGUUAGUCGGGCAAUUUAAAGGGGAUUCCCAUUGAUAACC